AGCAGCUACACGACAAAAAGAAAGGUUUGCUAAACAGAUAUUCACUGAUGAAGAACCAUUGAAGAAGGAAAACUUGGAACUGAGUGGUCGCAUUCAGAUGGCUUUAGAAGAUUCUAAGUUGAACAAAGAGAUUUGCAUCAAUGAAAUAACUCAUCAGAAGAUUAAUAGUUUGGAAGUAUUUUUUGGGGAAAAUGCUAAUGUUGCUGAACCAGAUCCCUGCUUGCAGACAAACCAAGAAUUAUUUAAAGACACUCUAAUAGAAGAGGAAAUUAGUUUCAAUGACAGAAGCAAAAACAAUGGAGUUCUUGGAGGUGUUAAUGAAGUUGAUCAAACUACAGAAAAUAUACUUAGAUACAAUGAAAAUCAGUUGGAAGAACCUUUGAAGGAGGGAGACUAUAAUUUUACACCAGUUGAGAAACUUGCACGAAUUUUGAAUUUAAGGAUGGAGAUGAUUCAGUCAUGUCACUGGACAGUCCAGGUGUAACUGACCAGGGCACUUUCUUCGGUGCUGUUCAACCUGUAGCACGCAUGUCAUGCAUGCAAAGAUGUUCAAGACUAUUACAAUUAUCUCCUGAUGAAAGAGCUACAGAUCAUAGUGACAUGUCUGUUUGUAUUGAUGGAGAACCUUCAGGACAUGUAGAAAAUCUCAAACCUGGGGAAUUGCUCAGAGAUUUUAAUGUCUUCCAGCAGGCACAGUUUACCAGUGGAAUCCAAUGCGAUACAGAACCACCAAGGUUAAACAAGAAUGUGGAUCCUGCAAAAGAUUCUUUUAACGAAAUUCUUGGUAGCCCUGACCUCAUUAUGAAGUUACAUGAUUGUCUAAGGGAUGAGGAUGAGCUUUGGUUUCCUUGUGCUGAACUAAAGGACAACCAUAGAUGUUUACUUCCUGAACAUGAUUCUGGGCCUACACAAUUGAUACAGAAAGAGUCUGGCGAUCAUGUCAGGAGGAAGUUUGUGUUUGUUAAAAAGUCAUGUUCUGUUAAUGCACUUAUUCAGGACAACAGCCUUGAAGAUAUUUCUAAAAAUAAGUUGAACAAGUAUCACAGAUACAGAGCAAAAGAGAUAAUGCCAAGGCGUCUCAAAGUGGGAUAUCAGAAUGGUGAUCCAAAAGAUGACAACACAGGGAAGAGAUUCCAUUCUCUCAGACAUGAAAUGAUGACCACUGAAACUGAUGGAGAAUCUACUGAAGCUCAUUCUGACUAUGUAUCUUCAUUUCUCUGCUGCAAAGAAAUGGAAAAUUCACCUGGAGAGGAAAUCCCUGGAUUAAAGCGCUACAGUUUCAGGCGUUCCACAAUUGAGAGGCAUGCAUUGACUAGGCAGACUAAACAAAAAAAGGCAGGAGGAAUUGAUUCACUUGAAACUAAGGUAUUGAACAUAGAUGGGCAUGAUAAUGAAGGAACUCAAUCACAUACUUAUGCUAGUGAGAAGCUAUGAUAAAGGUACAUAAAAGGUUUUAUGGGACCUUAGUGCCAAGCUUGUCAAAGGCAGCAUUCUCUGAAGAAAGAAACUCAUUUUGGAAAAGAAGAUUACACCAUGAAUUUGGCAAACUUCUACUCUACUCUUGAGCUGUGCAGAAUGCUUUCCAUAAAAAAUGGGCAUUAUAGAAGAGGACGUUGCGAGUCAUGUUCCCUUGUGAUUGUGCAAAUGCUGCCGUUCAGUUUGCGUUAACAUAAAACUAACAAAACUGCAGGUUGAUUAUUGUUGUCGAUGAUUCUCUCUUAUACUUAUUGUAUAGCUUUGUACGGUUGUGCAAUUCUUCUUGUCUGCUUUUCAGUUCUUAAAGUGCGUGUAAAAUAUGAAGCGAGAUAUACAUUUGGCACACUUGUACAUUCCCUUGUAUGAUAUCUUCAAUCGAAA
This is an RNA transcript of Zingiber officinale, 1857 nucleotides long. RefSeq lists it as uncharacterized. The record is from RefSeq and is a predicted model, not a curated record. Lineage: Eukaryota; Viridiplantae; Streptophyta; Magnoliopsida; Zingiberales; Zingiberaceae. The transcript has 3 exons.